GUAGGUGAACCUGCGGAAGGAUCAUUAUUGAAUGAACUUGGUGUGGUCGUAGCUGGCCCUCUCGGGGGCAUGUGCACACCCGCUAUCUUUAUUUCUCCACCUGUGCACAUCUUGUAGACCUGGAUAGACUUUCCGAGGCAACUCGGCCGGGAGGACUGCUGUGCGUCACUGCCAGCUUUCCUUGCAUAUCUAGGCCUAUGUUUUCAUAUACCCCAUAGUAUGUAACAGAAUGUAUCAUUGGGCCUCGUGCCUAUAAACUAUAUACAACUUUCAGCAACGGAUCUCUUGGCUCUC
RNAcentral lists this unclassified non-coding RNA (294 nucleotides) under rhizosphere metagenome. Its description in RNAcentral is "partial ribosomal RNA internal transcribed spacer region". The record is from RNAcentral.